UUCUGGUUGAUCCUGCCGGACCUGACUGCUAUCGGAUUGAUACUAAGCCAUGCGAGUCGUUGUAGCAAUACAAGGCAUACGGCUCAGUAACGCGUAGUCAACCUAACCUAUGGACGGGAAUAACCUCGGGAAACUGAGAAUAAUGCCCGAUAGAACAUUAUGCCUGGAAUGGUUUAUGUUCCAAAUGAUUUAUCGCCAUAGGAUGGGACUGCGGCCUAUCAGUUUGUUGGUGAGGUAAUGGCCCACCAAGACUAUUACAGGUACGGGCUCUGAGAGGAGUAGCCCGGAGAUGGGUACUGAGACACGGACCCAGGCCCUAUGGGGCGCAGCAGGCGAGAAAACUUUGCAAUGUGCGAAAGCACGACAAGGUUAAUCCGAGUGAUUUCUGCUAAAGAGAUCUUUUGUUAGUCCUAGAAACACUAACGAAUAAGGGGUGGGCAAGUUCUGGUGUCAGCCGCCGCGGUAAAACCAGCACCUCAAGUGGUCAGGAUGAUUAUUGGGCCUAAAGCAUCCGUAGCCGGCUCUGUAAGUUUUCGGUUAAAUCUGUACGCUCAACGUACAGGCUGCCGGAAAUACUGCAGAACUAGGGAGUGGGAGAGGUAGACGGUACUCGGUAGGAAGUGGUAAAAUGCUUUGAUCUAUCGAUGACCACCUGUGGCGAAGGCGGUCUACCAGAACACGUCCGACGGUGAGGGAUGAAAGCUGGGGGAGCAAACCGGAUUAGAUACCCGGGUAGUCCCAGCUGUAAACUAUGCAAACUCAGUGAUGCAUUGGCUUGUGGCCAAUGCAGUGCUGCAGGGAAGCCGUUAAGUUUGCCGCCUGGGAAGUACGUACGCAAGUAUGAAACUUAAAGGAAUUGGCGGGGGAGCACCACAAGGGGUGAAGCCUGCGGUUCAAUUGGAUUCAACGCCGGGA
Molecule: ribosomal RNA, 915 nt
Filed under: uncultured archaeon
Lineage: Archaea
Description: bacterial SSU rRNA
Rfam family: Archaeal small subunit ribosomal RNA
Source: RNAcentral